GAGGGUAUAGCUCAGUGGUAGAGCACAUGCUCAGCAUGCAUGAAGUCCUGGGUUCAAUCCCCAGGAUCCCCU
This 72-nucleotide transfer RNA is filed under the name Camelus bactrianus (Bactrian camel). It matches the Rfam family "tRNA". From Rfam's summary of the family: Transfer RNA (tRNA) molecules are approximately 80 nucleotides in length. Their secondary structure includes four short double-helical elements and three loops (D, anti-codon, and T loops). Further hydrogen bonds mediate the characteristic L-shaped molecular structure. tRNAs have two regions of fundamental functional importance: the anti-codon, which is responsible for specific mRNA codon recognition, and the 3' end, to which the tRNAs corresponding amino acid is attached (by aminoacyl-tRNA synthetases). tRNAs cope with the degeneracy of the genetic code in two manners: having more than one tRNA (with a specific anti-codon) for a particular amino acid; and 'wobble' base-pairing, i.e. permitting non-standard base-pairing at the 3rd anti-codon position. RNAcentral also lists the same sequence under 2 other names. Lineage: Eukaryota; Metazoa; Chordata; Mammalia; Artiodactyla; Camelidae. The record is from Rfam by way of RNAcentral.